GUUGGAGUGGAUGAUGCUACUGCAAAGGAUUGUUUGGAAAAGAUCAAAUCUGUAAAAAGUCCAGAAGAAGCUGCUAGAAUAGGAAGGUCAAUACAAAGGCAGCGUCCUGAUCUGUUUCUCCCUCUAAAUUCUGGAGUGUGAUCCCUACUCGAAUUGGGUCGUAUCAUUUGGUGCUUUCAUUCUUGAUCUCAUUCCUGCUAUCAAUAUGGAGCUUUCGCUGUUCGACGGAAACGAAGAUGCAUACUGGUGGAUCCUGUGUACUGAACAAUAUUUUAGGGCUACCGGAAAAUCCGAGGUUGCAAAGAUGAUGGUGGCUGAUUUGACUAUGCGAGGGCGUCUCGAAUGGUGGUUGUGGUGGUCGCCCCGUCACCCGCAAUCAAAUUGGGACACAUUCACCACGGCACUGUUUUGGCGCUUCAAGCCGGAAUGGCGACACCUGCUACCUAUAUUGGACGACGAAAUUGAGCCAACUUCUAAACCAUUGAAAUCCACAGAAGCAACUUUCUUCCUUGAAGAUUCAGUUGCCGAUGCUAGCCUUACGGUUGUUGGUGACCCGAGAAACACGACAUUGGCGCACAUCCGUACGCCGGAGAAUAUGCAAUUGGCUUCUUGCUCGCCAUCUCCACAUAGUAUCGCUGUCUCCGAUUAUGUCCCGGUCAGAACUGCAAUAACCGAAACUCAUAUCAAGGAUUGGGGUUACAAGGAUGAUGCCGAUUUCACAAUUCCUCCAAAACCGCCUGAUGCUACCCAACCGGAGAGUACAUGUGUGUUGUUAUCGAGAACGUCCAAAAUCACCACAAUUCGUGACACUCGAGCAUACGACCUUGGUCCAACCAAACCACCAUCGCCAAUAUCUGUUAUACUUCCGCCGCCGUCCCUGCAACCGAAACCGCCAGAUCUUCUCAUAGCUCCACCUCCAGCUGUACCUCCGGUGUCGUCUCCGCCGCCGAAACCACCAGAUCGAAGUGUUGCUACAGGUAUCAAUCCUUUAUGCGCUCAUGUUACUUUACACAGUUACCCGACACCCACUGUAUUGUUAUUUGGUACCGCAGAAAACUCAACGCACUUGAUCUCUAUUCCAUUUCCCUUCCCCGUUGUUGACUCUCCAACGUUGGGGCUUAAAUCACCACACGUCGUUUUUCUAUUCAACCCUGGGGGAUCUCAAUUUCUGAAAACAUCACAUUUCAAAUUCUACAAGGAUGUUGUCACGAAUGUGGUUCUAUUGCAAUGGUGGUACAACCUCCCAGUCACGAUCAUUUCGGCCGAGAUUCCCCCACCGGAACCACCCGACAGUGCUGCUAUUCUACUGCCACUGGCCACCACAUUAAACACCUAUCUUACAUUGAUUUCUGGUAGUUGUAUUGAUAUGGUAUCUAGAUUUUGUCAUGGUGAAUUUUUUGGUUUUGAAACUAGGGAAUUUGUGAAAAUUGAGUUCUCUCCCAACACCUGCUACAUGUUUGCUAUAAUGCCAAUCAGACCCAACCUCUUUCAAAUCUUGCAAAUAUUUGUUACUAUUUUUGGGAGUUCAUCAUUAGAAUCAUGUCUACUCUCCUUGGACAAUGUUGUAUCAGCUGAUGUCAAUGUUGAUGAUUUGAACAAUAAGCAUUUUCCAACUACCUUAAUUGGUGUAAGAAUCAUGGCUCUACCAACAAGCAUGAAAGUUCCUGACCCAACUUUUGAUAUUGAUCUUAUUAGCUUUCUUGUUGUCAUCACUGAAAUAUCUUUGAAUAUUAUCAUGAGUCUUGAUAGCUUGAAUCAUCUGUUGGAACCAUCGGUCUGCGUUGUUGUUCAAACGCUGUCAUCGUUUGUGUUGUCUCGGUCGAAAUUGACUGUUCUACAUUGCCGUGAAGAGGACGAGGAGCAGGUAAUUCUUAUUCAGACUGAUAUUGCAAGUGUUCUUUUGUUUCCUUAUGGUGAUGUUUGAAGUAAGUGUCCCCUCUGGCUUGAGCUCAUUUUUCUUGCCACUGUUGAAACGUUUGUGUUUUCAUAUGAUUUCUCUGUUUUUGACACUGGUAGUUCUUGUGGUGUUUACCCAUAUCUACAUGUGUGUUGUUACAAUCCUGGAGACAUAUGCUUCCCACAUCAUGCUUCCAAUUUUUGGAAUGAUAUUAUUGUUUAUGGUAGUUUUGAAUUCGGUAUUUGGACCAAAAGUGAUAGCUUUAAAGAUGAUAGCAUGCCGGAGAAAAUACCAAACUGGAUGGCAGGAACUUAUGACUAUGGCCAAACAUUCAUUGGUUCCGUGUAUAACUUUGAAUUGGCUAAAUAUUCUGUCAAGUGUGUAAUUGUUGCAAAUUAUAAGGUUCCAAUUAGCAUGAACUCAACCAGUGACAUCCAGGAAAAUGGGAUUUGUGCACCCACUCAAAGUGUUGUGGCAGCAUUUAAUUCUUAUGCAAUGGUAACUCUUGCUACUUUUUUUCAUGUAGUAACUACUUUUUUUAAAUUUGGUGUUGCUGCAUCAACUAUCAGUGAGUUAGGAUACAAUGAAGUUGGAAUUAGAUUCAAUGUUGCUAUUGGUUAUGAUAUAACACCUCAUGGAAUUGCUUCACUUUUUGAAAUUCAUUAUGGUUUGAUCAAGCAUUAUGGCUUAAUUGGAAGAGUGUCCAGUAUAUUGUUGUAUAAUGAUCCAAGAUUUAUUGUAGUGGGGAGAACUAAGACUUUAUGUGGUGUGUAGAUUAACCCAAGAGAUAACAAAGUUGUGAUCCAUGAUGGCCACGUGACACAUCCAUUUUUGGGGGUCAUACAAUUUCCACUAAUAUUUGUUGGAUCAAAGGUUCCUCCUAUGAGUGUUGAAUAUUCUUCUACAUAUCCUUUUAGGGGCUUUCCAUCAAUAUGGAAACUGGAUGUGGUAUCCUCAAGUUCAUUACUAAUGGCCAGUUGGGUUCCAAAUUCAGUCCGAAUGUUUGAGAAGGUUAUGAGCAAUUAUAUAGUACCUUCAACAAUGACUUGUGCUGAUAUUGUGGUUAUUUAUGUUGCCUUCUUUAUUAUUGAUGUACAUCUCAAUUCACAAGAUAAGCAAAGGAUUGUCUUCUUGAUUACACACAGAUUCUCAACACUUGUAAAUGUUCUUAUGCUUGCUGAGGUGGAAAAUGGAGAAAUGGUUGACAUAUCAAAACAUGAGAGUACACUAAAACUUGUUGCUGCGCAGGAGUGGUUGUUUUUCGUGAUGCGUACUCCAAUUUUUCUUCAAAGUGGGCUUUGCUUGACUUGUCAUGAUUGCAACAAGAAACGUUUCUCUCAUUUUGCAUCUCAAAUUGAUAAAAUCACUUCUAUUGUUCAUAAGACACAUCCUAAGUAUACUGGUUAUGACGAGAUGAAAUGGUUGAUAGCUUGGUUUUGGAAUAUUGUGGAGGUAGUAUCUGUGGAACAAAAUCAACAUUUGUUUGUUCACUGGCAGAAACAGAUUGCAUUGGGAGUCAUUUUGGUACAUGGCAUUAAGCUUGUGGAGGCUUGUCUGGUUUACAACCUUGAGGACAAGGUUGAUUUCGAAGAGCUGAGAUAAGGCCUGAUUGGGACAACAUGAAGAUCGAUGUCAUGUACUCGGCACUGAAAUGCAAGUUCUCAACAUACCCGCAUUUGAGUUCUAUGCUGCUUUCAACUGCCGGUUCGGUUCUAGUUGAGGCUUCUCCCCAU
RNA transcript from Medicago truncatula (barrel medic), 3630 nucleotides. It is a transcript of the gene named riboflavin biosynthesis protein PYRR, chloroplastic, with no coding region annotated. NCBI's taxonomy places the organism in Eukaryota, Viridiplantae, Streptophyta, Magnoliopsida, Fabales, Fabaceae. The record is from RefSeq and is a predicted model, not a curated record. The transcript is spliced from 3 exons.